AUUACACACACAGGUUAUAUUAUACACACACAGGUUAUAUUAUACACACACAGGUUAUAUUAUACACACACAGGUUAUAUUAUACACACACAGGUUAUAUUACACACACACAGGUUAUAUUACACACACACAGGUUAUAUUACACACACAGGUUAUAUUAUACACACAGGUUAUAUUAUACACACACAGGUUAUAUUAUACACACAGGUUAUAUUAUACACACAGGUUAUAUUAUACACACAGGUUAUAUUAUACACACACAGGUUAUAUUAUACACACAGGUUAUAUUAUACACACACAGGUUAUAUUAUACACACAGGUUAUAUUAUACACACACAGGUUAUAUUAUACACACACAGGUUAUAUUAUACACACACACAGGUUAUAUUAUACACACACACAGGUUAUAUUACACACACACACACACAGGUUAUAUUACACACACAGGUUAUAUUAUACACACACAGGUUAUAUUACACACACACAGGUUAUAUUAUACACACACACAGGUUAUAUUACACACACACAGGUUAUAUUAUACACACACACACAGGUUAUAUUACACACACAGGUUAUAUUAUACACACACACACAGGUUAUAUUACACACACACACAGGUUAUAUUACACACACACACAAAACACACAGGUUAUAUUACACACACACACACAGGUUAUAUUAUACACACACACAGGUUAUAUUAUACACACACACAGGUUAUAUUAUACACACACACAGGUUAUAUUACACACACACACACACACACACACAGGUUAUAUUACACACACACACACAGGUUAUAUCACAC
This is a long non-coding RNA of Oncorhynchus keta (chum salmon), 808 nucleotides long. RefSeq lists it as uncharacterized. The record is from RefSeq and is a predicted model, not a curated record. The transcript has 4 exons. NCBI's taxonomy places the organism in Eukaryota, Metazoa, Chordata, Actinopteri, Salmoniformes, Salmonidae.